Long non-coding RNA from Oncorhynchus keta (chum salmon), 363 nucleotides. RefSeq lists it as uncharacterized. The record is from RefSeq and is a predicted model, not a curated record. NCBI's taxonomy places the organism in Eukaryota, Metazoa, Chordata, Actinopteri, Salmoniformes, Salmonidae. The transcript is spliced from 3 exons.
GUCUCUCACCUCCUCCCCAGGUGAUGUGUGAUAGAUAAUCAGGGUGUCUCUCACCUCCUCCCCAGGUGAUGUGUGAUAGAUAAUCAGGGUGUCUCUCACCUCCUCCCCAGGUGAUGUGUGAUAGAUAAUCAGGGUGUCUCUCACCUCCUCCCCAGGUGAUGUGUGAUAGAUAAUCAGGGUGUCUCUCACCUCCUCCCCAGGUGAUGUGUGAUAGAUAAUCAGGGUGUCUCUCACCUCCUCCCCAGGUGAUGUGUGAUAGAUAAUCAGGGUGUCUCUCACCUCCUCCCCAGGUGAUGUGUGAUAGAUAAUCAGGGUGUCUCUCACCUCCUCCCCAGGUGAUGUGUGAUAGAUAAUCAGGGUGUC